This is a long non-coding RNA of Ostrinia furnacalis (Asian corn borer), 3429 nucleotides long. RefSeq lists it as uncharacterized. The transcript is spliced from 2 exons. The record is from RefSeq and is a predicted model, not a curated record. Lineage: Eukaryota; Metazoa; Arthropoda; Insecta; Lepidoptera; Crambidae.
CGCGCUUUUGUGCUAAGUGAUGAAUUGUAUCUAAAAUAAGGCAAUAUAAUGUGAAAGAUGAGUAUCCAGUGUUUUAUUUAUGAGAAUAGAUCGACCGGCCUCUAAUAGUUCAGAAGUGAGAUCUGAAACCUAUGAUAGUAACGUGAUUUCAAAGUGUUCCAGGUGACCAAUGUUUCGUGUUAUUUGUCACGAAUGUUAACACAAAACGCCCACGAUUCUAUGAUUAUAAUGGAAUAUGAUGAAGAGAGAAUGUCAAGGAAACCACGCUGACAACUGUGUGAGAUGCAGAAAAGUAUUUAAGUACGAGAAAUGAUGGACGCAAAUUAUGAACAUACUCCCUCCGUAACUUGGCUUGUGGUCACGUAAGUGGUGAACAAUUUGACUAACGAUGGCCCCAGAGCAGAUAUGGUGACUUAUCUGUCUGCGGGUUGGCCCUGUGGUGAGCAAAUCAGUCAAGCACAAUACCUGAGUGAAGCUGAACACUGAACAAGGGUACUUCACAUAAAUGAUUUGGAGUUGGACAGAAGGUAAUGCAAUACAAAAGGGCAUCAGCUGUGAUAUUUGGUGAGUGAAAAUGUAAUACAAAAGGAAUCAGCUGUGAUAUUUGGUGAGUUGAAUUAAUGUUUUAUUGCAAGGGUUGAGCUGAGACUAGCAGUGCCACUGCGGCUUGGUUGUUUAACUGUGCUUAUUCUUGUCAUUGGCAUGAAAUUGCAUACAAUUAACUUGAGUGUGAACAGAUUGUAAUAAUGAAUUGGCUACAGUCUACUGCUAGACUUUAGAACUUCCCAACUGCCGCUAACAGUCUUAAGCAAAAAGUUAUUAUUAAUAAUGGUGAAUAAGAGAGUGAUGUGUUUGAAUAGAAAUAAAUGCUUAUCAUUGGUCAUUAGCAUUGGCCUAUUGUGUGGUAUACUGCUGUACUGUGCGAAAGUUAGCUAUUUACCCGACUGCGCCAGAAGGAGGGUUAUGUUUUUGAAUAAUGGUAUCAAUGGAGCAAAGUACUAGCAGUGAUCAAAUAAAGUUUAUAUUGGUGAUGAUUGUGUUGUGUGCUUCCCUGUAAUGACUGGGUUAACAACAGAUACUUGAAUAUGAAGUCAGUUGCAUUGUGGGUGAAUUUUGGCCAAGCAUGAGAAGAGAAGUAUUGUACUUGUUAAAUUAAAGUUCUUGGAUAUUUCCAUGAAUGCUUGUUCCUAUUUGAGGAUGGUAAGUUCAUGGAAGUAUGUGCAGUUUCCAAAGAUAAUAGUUGGAAGUGUAUUGCUGUCAACACAACAAUAACAGUAAGUUUAUUAUGAUAAAGUUGCAUUUGUGUGUGAAGCAAAUUUGUGUUCACUAAGACACAAUGAAAACAUAAUUUGUUUCACUGUUUAUUACUGGCAUUAUUGAUGAUGAUUUAUGUAGUUGUGUUAUUCAUCUUAAUAUUUUAGAGUUUACAUUGAAAUAUUUUAUUAUUUAAAUAAAGAUAAUUUUAGCAAAUUUCUUAUGAUGUUGUGAUUAUGGGAAUGGUUUGAUAAUAAUAAUAAUAAUAGGGGUAUGAUGUACUAUGUGAGGAUCAUACACCAGUGGGCAUUGUCAUGAAACUGGGUGGACUUUGUCAUUUUGUGUGAGAUGGAUGUCCUGAUAGCUGUGUGAGGAGGACAUGUGGCAUUGUCUUGAAACUGUGUGGACAUUGUCAUUCUGAGUGGGAUGUCUGGUGUGACAUCAGGAAUUGUGAAGAUGUCGUGUCUUGUGUGGGAGACAUCAUGAACUAUGAUGUUUUGGCUUGUGUAGCGACAUCAUAGGGCUGUGUGGCGAGGCGCAAACUGUGUGGAAUGGCCUAAUCUGUGUGGGUUUAAAGAGAAAAUGUUAAAAGAACCAUAACCAAUCCCAUAAAUCAUUUAGGUCCGAUAGUAUUUAUUUUAUUUGUAUUGCAUUGUAUAACUUCAUUAUAAUUACGUCAUUAGGAGUUCACAAUGUUCUAAAUUAAUUCUGAAUAAUACCGAAGAGAAGAGGCAGUAUCAUGAGCAAAUGGAGAACCUACUGAGAAAGGCAUACGCCGGGCGCUGUAGUGGUGACUUCGUGGAAAGCUUCAACGACAUCGAGCAAGCAAAGAAGUGAUUUUUCAAGUGGACGAAGACCACAGGAAGGCGGUCUUCCAUGUCCGGAACUGGAACAGCAACGACGACAGGCUGCUAGCAGUCGCCCCGAGCGGCAGGCGCGCGAAGAAAGGAGCGACUCCCCUAGAAGCUCCUGAAAAGCAGUGGCGCCUCAAGACCGGAUGGGACGAGCCCGUGCUGGAAGACGUCGCAGCAUACUUCGAGAAAUGGCUGUCAGACCUGCAGAUUAUGAAGAGACUGCGUAUUCCUCGAUACUACUACGGGGGGGAGAUAAAUGAAACUCCGAGAGCUGCACAUCUUCUGCGAUGCAGGCGAGGAAGCCUACGCCGCCGUUGCGUAUUGGCACCUCACUUACAACGACAGGAAGGACGCGGAAGUUGUGCUGGUAGCUGCGCGUGCCAAAGUGGCUCCAGUGAAGACACAAACGAUAUCGAGGUUGGAGCUACAAGCAGCAUGAACGGAAGUGCAUCGGCUGCCUGUAGAAGACACUAUCUACUGGAGUGACUCCUAAACUGUGCUGCAUUGGCUGCGGAACGGAAGCCGCCGCUAUACACCCUACGGAGCGCAUCGACUUGAAGAGAUCACCGAGGAGACAAGGCCGUCGGAGUAGCGUUUGAGUACCCACUCACUUGAACGUAGCCGACGUGGCGUCGAGAGCGGGAUACGUGCCUACAUCGGAAGAGGAUGAGUCUGUUGUUCCAAGGGCCGUCGUUCCUUAGAAGACCGAAGUCUGGAUGGCCACGGCAAGAAGGCAAGGACGAUGACGUGACAAUCGAGCAACACUGCAUCUCGUCACUGGGAAGAUCGAGGAUAACGAGACGGUCACAUCGGACCUCUCGCUUUGAAUAUUCCAGAACAUGAGAGACAGAGAUGGCAAUAUCGCGAGAGAAAGGGAAGAGUAUAAAAUAGGGAGCAGGGCAUUCCAGCUGACUAGUUUAAUUCAGAUAAGAAGCGAGUUAAGAAAUCAAAGUGGUCGAAAAGAAAAAGUGAAGAACUCAGAAAUAAAGCUGUCUACAACAAGUACUCUGCCUUCAAGAUUUAUGCCGGUUCCUAGCCCACGAACAUACAGUCCACUGCUCAUCAACAGUGAGGGUUCUUUCCAUUCUUGGAAGUAGAAUGGGUUACAGUUCUAUGAUUUGGAGUUUAUCGGAACCAGUAAGUUGUAUUUUUGUGGUGGUUGAACAAACCUGAUAGAAACCUUGGAUAAAGGCCUAAUUGGGCAUCAAAGGAUGAGUUUCGUCGGUGGUAACAUUUUGGGCAUAUGAGCUAUGGUGCCUAGAUUAAGAUGGCAUGUGUGUGAUCGACAUUAUUGUCAUUAUUGAAGCAGCUGAUUCUAAAA